AGAUACGGCGGCUAAAGGCGUUAUUAAAGUUGCUCAUCCAAGCGCCUUCAUGUUUGUUCGUACCAAUUUUAAUGGACGGGAAGCCGACUGACGAACAUCCUUUUCCCGAGAAAUGGUUCGGCUACGACACAUGUUAAGAAGUCACGCCAGGGGCUGAAUUAAGGUCGACCGUUUCAGCUGCAUUGAUGUGAAGUGAUGCAGUGGACAACUUGUGAGGGUGAUACCAUCCACAUGCACCUUAACUGUGAUGCAGAAAUACAAUAGGAUGAUCCAUCUGUCUACACUUCAAAAUCACAACUCAACCUUAAACAACCCAUAUCUGUUAUGGUAAAACAAUGUGGCGGUUUUCCAGACAGGGCUUAUACUGUUCCCGGGCUAAAAUGCAUGUUUGAGCUACUGUAAUUAAGAAAACACCUUGUACUGACACAUCUCAACAUAUCAGUGCCAUUGUUUUGUUUCAAGGUGCACACCAGUCUUGUUUUUGUAAGGUUUGUUUGUAAAAACUAAAAUGUCCUAAUAUAAGUGCCCAGUCCUGGUUUAAUCUAAACCAUUGGUGACCAAACCUGUGUCUUGAGAUCUACUGUCCUGCAGAGUUCAGCUCCAACCCCAAUCAAACACACCUGAACCUGCCAAUCAAGCAUUUCAGGGCAACCUUAAAAUUAUAGUCAGGUGUGUUUGUUAAAGCUGGGUUAGAACUAAAAUAUGCAGGAGGGUAGAUCUCCAGGAACAGGGUGGGUCACCCCUGAUCUAAACAAAGGGUUUCCAAACUGUGUCCUGCAAAGUUUAGCUCUAACCCUAAUCAAACACACCUGAAGCAGCCAAUUAAUGUCCUACUAAGCAUACUAGAAACUUACUGGCAUGUGCUCUGAUGCAAGUUAGAGCUAAACUCUGCAGGACACCGGCCCUGACUAAGCCCUGUCUGGGAAACUGCACCAAUGUGUUAAGCUGGCACCAUUGGACAUUACUGCUGCUGAGAAACAACCACAUUUCUCCGCUCUACACAGGGUUGACAUUGGAUGCAUUAUUAUUAUAAAAUGCAUUCAUGUGCACUUUACCAAUACUGUACAUACAUCAACAGCUUCCAGCUAUACACUUGGGAUCAGCUCCUGAUGCCUCUCAUAAUGCUGUGUUAUAAUUUAUUGCAGGGUGAUCUUGCUAAAAUGAUAUUUUUAUAAACCUUUACAAUGUCACCAGAUGUUACCUGUUGUGAAUUAUUAUUUUAUAAACCUUUACAAUCUCA
Long non-coding RNA from Paramisgurnus dabryanus, 1240 nucleotides. RefSeq lists it as uncharacterized. Lineage: Eukaryota; Metazoa; Chordata; Actinopteri; Cypriniformes; Cobitidae. The record is from RefSeq and is a predicted model, not a curated record.